GACGAACGCUGGCGGCGUGCUUAACACAUGCAGGUCGAACGGAAAGACCCUGCUUUUGUGGGGUUCUCGUUUGGCGCACGGGUGAGUAACACGUGAGUAACCUGCCCUUGACUUUGGGAUAACUUCAGGAAACUGGGGCUAUUACCGCAUAGGAGCUCUUGCUGCAUGGUGUUGAUUGGAAAGUUUCGGCGGUUGGGGAUGGACUCGCUGCUUAUCAGCUUGUUUGUGUGGUAGUGGCUUACCAAGGCUUUGACGGGUAGCCGGCCUGAGCGGUGGACCGGGCACCUGGCGACUACGGGACGGCGCAGACGCGUACCUGCGGCAGCAGGCGGAAGCAUUACACAACGAGGGGACGCCUGUUACAACAACCCCGGGUGCGGGAUACCCGCCUUCGGGUUAUAAACCGAUUUCGCCUGAAACGAAGCGUGCGUGACGGUAAUGGGUAAAGAAGCACCGGCUAACUACGUG
RNAcentral lists this ribosomal RNA (468 nucleotides) under uncultured bacterium. RNAcentral describes it as "partial 16S ribosomal RNA". It matches the Rfam family "Bacterial small subunit ribosomal RNA", at positions 28 to 507 of the family's 1533-position model. The record is from RNAcentral.